AUGAGACCGAUGGCUGUGCUACUUGAGCUUGUCGCCCUUCCUUCCUCCUUCCCGUCCAUCAGUUCCCCCAUCGAAACAAAAUCAGUCCCCCCACCAAAAGCUAGGGUUAGGGUUAGCGAGGCGGCGGCGGCUUUAUUCCCGAUGCCGAUCGCCAUGGACACCGGAGGCGCGCCGGAGCCGGAUGAGGAGUCCGUCGUCUUCCCCAGAUGGGCGAUGCUGGAUCGCAGAGGCCGCACCCGCUGCCACAACGGCCUAAACGCUGCCCGUGUGGCUGCCAACAAGAACAAGACCGCCGUUCCAGUCCACAUGGACGGCGGCCCCUCCUGCUACGUGACCUUCACCCUCGCGGCUCCUCAAAAAGGGAUCUCCUGCCUCAACCUCCACUUGCCGGAGGAACCUCCACUUACCCCAGCCACCCCGCCCGCCUAUGCCUACGUCCGGGCAACCGACAAGGACCUCGUCCUUUUCGACAUCACCAACCCGAGCCGGUCUUGCUACUGGGACCCCCCGUCAGAUCUGUUCGUCUACACGGCCGGCGGUCCUUCCCCCUCGGUGCAGCCGCUCCCUAUGUACACCAAGGAGAGGGAGAGGCCGUUCCUGAUGGACAACCUCACCACAGGCAUCCUGCGGCUCGCGGAGGACCGCUACAUCGUUGCCGACCUCAAUGUCUACCCCAAAAGAAAGGGCAAUGCCAUGCGUGCCGAACUCUGCGUCUUCAACUCCGAGACUAGAAAGUGGAAAAUCAUCCGCAAAUUGGACCCAGGCAAUGGCGGACAGUUCCCCGAACUCUGGUCAACCGAUAAUGUGCUCGCCUUUGAUGGCCGUUUCCUGUGCUGGAUUGACUACUUCAGCGGUGUCCUGCUAUGUGACUUCUCCACGUCCACUCCAGACUCCUUGGCGCUCCGCUUCGUGCCUUUCCCUGGAGAAAAUAACUUCUCUGAUGAGGUACGUGUUGAAAGGUACUCCCCGGAGAGGUUCCGAAGUGUGUCCAUCACCCAAGGCAUGAUGCGCUUUGUCCACAUUGACAAUGACUACCAUGACAGUCUCCAUGGUGCCUGGCAAUGGCUUAAGCUUCCUGAGAGAAAAAGGAAAGUGCAGCAGCAUCAGCCUUGCAAGAAAAUCACCAUUUGGACUUUGAACCCCAAGUUUGAGUGGGAGCAGCAUUGUGUGAUCAACCUGCAUUAUCUUUGGGCGCAACCUGGUUACAAAGCCCUUGACAUACAUCAGUGUCUCCCCGAGUUCCCGAUCAUGACCGUGGAUGACCCGGAUGUUCUGUGCUGCCUGUUAAGGGAAGAGGAUUAUGGCAAGGGCUGGAUGAUCAUGGUUGACAACCAUGCGCAUCUGCGGUCAUGUACUCCUGAGUCCGAGUCUCUGGGCGUGGAAGCUCAUGAUAACCGGUUUCCUGAUAUCCCCCUACUUCCAACUGUCUUCUGCAAAUACCUUGAAAGCCCAACAGGGGUGGCUUGGAUUGAGCAUAAAAAGCGUAAGCGUAAGCUGAAGUCUGCAAAGGUAAAGGCCUGGAAUCUGGUGACUGGUGUUGAACACUUUGGCGACGCUCAAAUCAAAGAUGCGAUGAAGAUGGUGUACUGA
This 1590-nucleotide ribosomal RNA is filed under the name Triticum aestivum (bread wheat). RNAcentral describes it as "partial small subunit ribosomal RNA". The record is from RNAcentral. Lineage: Eukaryota; Viridiplantae; Streptophyta; Magnoliopsida; Poales; Poaceae.